RNAcentral lists this non-coding RNA (28 nucleotides) under Homo sapiens (human). The record is from RNAcentral. Lineage: Eukaryota; Metazoa; Chordata; Mammalia; Primates; Hominidae.
ACUAUCGUUAUCAGAUGGUCUCAAUGGU